RNAcentral lists this transfer RNA (67 nucleotides) under Odontodactylus havanensis. Its description in RNAcentral is "tRNA-Leu". It matches the Rfam family "tRNA". Rfam says of the family: Transfer RNA (tRNA) molecules are approximately 80 nucleotides in length. Their secondary structure includes four short double-helical elements and three loops (D, anti-codon, and T loops). Further hydrogen bonds mediate the characteristic L-shaped molecular structure. tRNAs have two regions of fundamental functional importance: the anti-codon, which is responsible for specific mRNA codon recognition, and the 3' end, to which the tRNAs corresponding amino acid is attached (by aminoacyl-tRNA synthetases). tRNAs cope with the degeneracy of the genetic code in two manners: having more than one tRNA (with a specific anti-codon) for a particular amino acid; and 'wobble' base-pairing, i.e. permitting non-standard base-pairing at the 3rd anti-codon position. The record is from RNAcentral. Lineage: Eukaryota; Metazoa; Arthropoda; Malacostraca; Stomatopoda; Odontodactylidae.
UCUAAAAUGGCAGAAAAGUGCGAUGGAUUUAAGCUCCAUAUAUGAAGGGUUUCCCUUCUUUUAGAAC